CCUACGGGAGGCAGCAGUAGGGAAUCUUGCUCAAUGGGGGAAACCCUGAAGCAGCAACGCCGCGUGGAGGAUGAAGGUUUUCGGAUUGUAAACCCCUUUUGUUAGAGAAGAUAAUGACGGUAUGUAACGAUUAACCACCGGCUAACUCCGUGCCAGCAGCCCCCGUAAUACUGAGGGUGCACGCGUUACUCGGAAUGACUGGGCGUAAAGAGGGCGGAGGCGGGACAGCAAGUCAGAUGUGAAAUCCUAUGGCUUAACCAUAGAACUGCAUUUGAAACUGGUAUUCUAGAGUGUGGGAGAGGUAGGUGGAAUGCGUGGUGUAGCGGUAAAAUCCGUAGAGAUCAAGAGGAAUACUCAUUGCGAAGGCGACCUGCUGGAACAUAACUGACGCUGAUGCGCGAAAGCGUGGGGAGCAAACAGGAUUAGAUACCCGUGUAGUC
This 440-nucleotide ribosomal RNA is filed under the name uncultured bacterium. Its description in RNAcentral is "partial 16S ribosomal RNA". It matches the Rfam family "Bacterial small subunit ribosomal RNA", at positions 338 to 795 of the family's 1533-position model. The record is from RNAcentral.